Molecule: non-coding RNA, 72 nt
Organism: Pangasianodon gigas (Mekong giant catfish)
Lineage: Eukaryota; Metazoa; Chordata; Actinopteri; Siluriformes; Pangasiidae
Source: the annotation of a GenBank genome assembly
UCCCCGGUGGGCUAGUGGCUCGCAUGCGGUGCUCUCACCGCCGCGGCCCGGGUUUGAUUCCCGGCCAGGGAA